This 655-nucleotide ribosomal RNA is filed under the name uncultured Glomus. RNAcentral's name for it is "SSU rRNA". It matches the Rfam family "Eukaryotic small subunit ribosomal RNA", at positions 357 to 1016 of the family's 1831-position model. The record is from RNAcentral. Lineage: Eukaryota; Fungi; Glomeromycota; Glomeromycetes; Glomerales; Glomeraceae.
GGGUAACGGGGUGUUAGGGCACGACACCGGAGAGGGAGCCUGAGAAACGGCUACCACAUCCAAGGAUGGCAGCAGGCGCGCAAAUUACCCAAUCCCGACACGGGGAGGUAGUGACAAUAAAUAACAAUACGGGGUUCUUUCGGAUCUCGUAAUUGGAAUGAGUACAAUUUAAAUCUCUUAGCGAGGAACAAUUGGAGGGCAAGUCUGGUGCCAGCAGCCGCGGUAAUUCCAGCUCCAAUAGCGUAUAUUAAAGUUGUUGCAGUUAAAAAGCUCGUAGUUGAAUUUCGGGAUCAGCAGGUUGGUCGUGCCUACGGUAUGAACUGGCCUUGCUGAUUCCUCCUUCUUGAUGAGCCGUAAUGCCAUUAAUUUGGUGUUGCGGGGAAUCAGGACUGUUACUUUGAAAAAAUUAGAGUGUUUAAAGCAGGCAAGCGCUUGAAUACAUUAGCAUGGAAUAAUGAAAUAGGACGUUCGAUCCUAUUUUGUUGGUUUCUAGGAUUGACGUAAUGAUUAAUAGGGAUAGUUGGGGGCAUUAGUAUUCAAUUGUCAGAGGUGAAAUUCUUGGAUUUAUUGAAGACUAACUACUGCGAAAGCAUUUGCCAAGGAUGUUUUCAUUAAUCAAGAACGAAAGUUAGGGGAUCGAAGACGAUCAGAUACC